CCCAGGUGAUGGAGAUCUCUUCCCGGGCUCCUCGGAGAGGGCUGAGCGGCGGGAGGAGGCUCCCCUCAAAUUAGGAACGUUUCAGAAGCCAGGGUGCAGUGAUUAGUGGGAAACACUGCAAACUACUGAUCAGGAACUCUCAACAUACAGGGAGGAUAAUGAAGAAGUUUCAAAGAAACCAGUUCCUGUUGCUGUAAUCUAACAAGUUUCAACAUAAAAGUACCCUGAACCUUUACUGCUGUGUAACAAAGCACAGCAGCCUGGGA
This is a long non-coding RNA of Phodopus roborovskii (desert hamster), 266 nucleotides long. RefSeq lists it as uncharacterized. The transcript is spliced from 2 exons. The record is from RefSeq and is a predicted model, not a curated record. Lineage: Eukaryota; Metazoa; Chordata; Mammalia; Rodentia; Cricetidae.